This 459-nucleotide ribosomal RNA is filed under the name uncultured bacterium. RNAcentral's name for it is "partial 16S ribosomal RNA". It matches the Rfam family "Bacterial small subunit ribosomal RNA", at positions 338 to 795 of the family's 1533-position model. The record is from RNAcentral.
CCUACGGGAGGCAGCAGUGAGGAAUAUUGGUCAAUGGGCGCGAGCCUGAACCAGCCAAGUCGCGUGAGGGAUGACGGUCCUAUGGAUUGUAAACCUCUUUUGUCGGGGAGCAAAAGACGCCACGCGUGGCGUUCCGAGAGUACCCGAAGAAAAAGCAUCGGCUAACUCCGUGCCAGCAGCCGCGGUAAUACGGAGGAUGCGAGCGUUAUCCGGAUUUAUUGGGUUUAAAGGGUGCGUAGGCGGACGCUAAAGUCAGCGGUAAAAUUGCGGGGCUCAACCUCGUCGAGACGUUGAAACUGGGUGUCUUGAGUGGGCGAGAAGUAUGCGGAAUGCGUGGUGUAGCGGUGAAAUGCAUAGAUAUCACGCAGAACUCCGAUUGCGAAGGCAGCAUACCGGCGCUCAACUGACGCUGAUGCACGAAGGUGUGGGUAUCGAACAGGAUUAGAUACCCGAGUAGUC